UCCUCUAGCCCCGCCUCUUCCCGAGAUGGGACCCCCAAACACUCCCCAGGGGGCUCUCUCCACACCCCAGGAGUUCUAUUUGUGCCUCCGGAGUGCAAGUUCACCUAACUGGUGACUUUUUUCGAACUCCCCUCCUCGCCUGAAAGAGACCUUCUUUGGCUACCCGCCCCCUGCCCUGUGGCUCCUACGUGGCUACUUUGCAGGAUGGGCUGUGUAUAAAGGGCUGGAGGCAGUUCAACCCUAACCAGAGACGUGGCGUCUGCUAGGCCUGCCUAAGCUCCGGUACCUGACUAAAGUCCAGAGAAUGGAGCAAGGAGGAACUGAAGAGAGCGUGGCUGCGAGACAUGAAGACAGAGCUGUGGACCACAGUUGGCUUUCCUGGGAAGGCUCCCUUACUGUGGGCUAUAAGAUGUAACAAGACUGUUUACUCAAUUAUUACAAAGAAAAACAAAACAAAACAAAACAAAACAGUGCUGGCCUCUUUACAUUAUGUCAUCCUGCAGGUGAGCCAGGCAUAUGUUACAGUAACCAUUCCAUAGUUUAUUUUCCCCUCUGGUUCCCACAAUUGUCUGACCCUGCCCAUGUUACCACACCUAAACACUGGCACAGAGAAGGGAAGUUUGAUGUUCUCUGUAGCAUUGCUCAGUGCUGCUUCAGUUUCAUGGACUCUGUAGUCCUCGGAAGACCCACAGCUGCAGUUACAGGUCACACCAUGAUGGCUAUCAUAGAUGUUGUCAUAGAGAACAGCUUUUAAACUAGAGAGCACACAGAUUGCACAGCCUUUCAGUGCCUCCUGUGGCCUCUCAGGAUUCACCAAAGCCCCUUUAGGGUGGUUCCUUUGCCCCCCCCCCCAAAAAGCUCUCUGGCCUUCAAUGCCCUCUCCCUGAUUGGUGUUAAGGAGACUAGAUGUGUUUUAAAAGAACAUUGUAGGAGCUUAGAUGCUGUCAUCACACACACAAGAAGGAGCACAAUUGGAUAUGAUACAAAGUGCAGGUUCUCCAUCCUUAAGGUAAAUUUCUAGGCUGCUAGGAUAUGUGAAGGAGCCUCAAGCAUGGCCCUCUCUACAGACUAAUGUCUUAUCUAUGGUCUGCCUUGGCUUCUCAGGGUUGAUCAGAGAGAUGUGACAAUGGACUCUGCCCCUGGUCAUUCCUGAUGGUUGACAUAGAGUGAUCUGCCUUCACCCACCCCAAGUGAGUUCUGCUUAUCUACGACCUCUCAUAUUCAACCCACACUAAGAAUGGCAUUCUUUCACUUCAAGGCCACAUCCAAAGAAGGAGCCCAGUUUAGUGUACAGGCCUCAGCAGUAAGUGGCUUCAGGAUGUACCCCACACACUAGGGAAGGUGAGCCUGCUCUCUGUAACAGAGUGGGGUUCAGAGUGGGGUUCACUGUCCAAAGUUCUCUUCUUCCUUCACAUGUUCAGUGACUCUUCGAGCUUCCAGCGGGACGUUGCAUUUUACUUAAGCUGCAUUUCCAGAAGUUAAAACAUCCUAGAAAUCUGCAA
Molecule: long non-coding RNA, 1502 nt
Filed under: Mus pahari (shrew mouse)
Lineage: Eukaryota; Metazoa; Chordata; Mammalia; Rodentia; Muridae
Description: lncRNA (MGP_PahariEiJ_G0004386.1)
Source: RNAcentral